RNAcentral lists this ribosomal RNA (256 nucleotides) under Francisella tularensis. RNAcentral's name for it is "partial ribosomal RNA". It matches the Rfam family "Bacterial small subunit ribosomal RNA", at positions 1130 to 1385 of the family's 1533-position model. The record is from RNAcentral. Lineage: Bacteria; Pseudomonadati; Pseudomonadota; Gammaproteobacteria; Thiotrichales; Francisellaceae.
GUUGGGUACUCUAUUGAGACUGCCGCUGACAAGGCGGAGGAAGGUGGGGACGACGUCAAGUCAUCAUGGCCCUUACGACCAGGGCUACACACGUGCUACAAUGGGUAUUACAGAGGGCUGCGAAGGUGCGAGCUGGAGCGAAACUCAAAAAGGUACUCUUAGUCCGGAUUGCAGUCUGCAACUCGACUGCAUGAAGUCGGAAUCGCUAGUAAUCGCAGGUCAGAAUACUGCGGUGAAUACGUUCCCGGGUCUUGUA